CUUGUUGCUUCGGCGGGCCCGCCUUAACUGGCCGCCGGGGGGCUUACGUCCCCGGGCCCGCGCCCGCCGAAGACACCCUCGAACUCUGUCUGAAGAUUGUAGUCUGAGUGAAAAUAUAAAUUAUUUAAAACUUUCAACAACGGAUCUCUUGGUUCCGGCAUCGAUGAAGAACGCAGCGAAAUGCGAUACGUAAUGUGAAUUGCAAAUUCAGUGAAUCAUCGAGUCUUUGAACGCACAUUGCGCCCCCUGGUAUUCCGGGGGGCAUGCCUGUCCGAGCGUCAUUGCUGCCCUCAAGCACGGCUUGUGUGUUGGGCCCCGUCCUCCGAUCCCGGGGGACGGGCCCGAAAGGCAGCGGCGGCACCGCGUCCGGUCCUCGAGCGUAUGGGGCUUUGUCACCCGCUCUGUAGGCCCGGCCGGCGCUUGCCGAUCAACCCAAAUUUUUAUCCAGGUUGACCUCGGAUCAGGUAGGGAUACCCGCUGAACUUAAGCAUAUCAAU
This 497-nucleotide ribosomal RNA is filed under the name Penicillium chrysogenum. RNAcentral describes it as "eukaryotic LSU rRNA". The stretch from base 129 to 281 matches the Rfam family "5.8S ribosomal RNA". Lineage: Eukaryota; Fungi; Ascomycota; Eurotiomycetes; Eurotiales; Aspergillaceae. The record is from RNAcentral.